Gallus gallus (chicken) is the source of this 8049-nucleotide long non-coding RNA. RefSeq lists it as uncharacterized. The transcript has 13 exons. The record is from RefSeq and is a predicted model, not a curated record. NCBI's taxonomy places the organism in Eukaryota, Metazoa, Chordata, Aves, Galliformes, Phasianidae.
GGGCAGUGGCCCAGGGGAAUAAGCAGGCAUCAUAGGCCUGGAGGGAAUGCCCACAGCACAUAAUAGGUUAUCUGAUUACAAAGCCACUCAGAUAUUGAUUUUCACAGCUUUUUGCUUUAUUCUUAAUUUGAAAUUCUUUUCAGUUCCCUAACAAGAGCAGGACCGGACUAAUUUAAAGCAACCGCUUGCUUUGGAGAGAAGUUCCUGUAUCUGGUAAUCUUGGGCUAGUCACGGUUGCCAGGAUCUCGUCCUUUAUUGCUUAGCUUUCUGUUCUGGUAAUCAAUAUUCUGAGUUGCUGGGGAGACAGGACAGAAGUAAGGAGCUAGAGACAAACAUUUGUUCCAGAAAUGUUCUCAUGCCCCAGUGAUUCCCAGAGGAAAAGAGAAGAGGAUUUGCAAUAGAGAGACAAAAUCAUCUCAGCUAUAACAGCAUAGACCCUGAUGUCCUGUAGCCACAUCAGACCUGGCAAGAGAAGCUUCAUCAUCUCUCCCCUCUCCGCUCACCACGUCUCCUCAGAAAUGGAAAAGAACCCGCAGGCAAAGUGGAGUUUCUGUGCAGGUUGCUGUGUUCUUGGUCAUCGCUGCAGUAGCUGAAAAAUUGCUAGAUGGGCCAGACAACCCAAAACACAGAGCUGAGAGACGUGCUUUAACAGCCUGUUCUGGACUAGCUUGCAAGGACAGACCCAGUGCCUUCAAGGAAACUACCUUGGUCCAUACCUGCAGGAUGCCCUGUCCACCCAGCUUUCAGUUCCCAUAUUCACACUAAAGCUCAAUGCAAGCUACCUCUGAGUUCAAGAGAGCUGCAGGAGAGACUCAUAGGAGACACCCUGGAAAUAUAUAUUAAGAGGAAUUUUGUUGAAAAACUCCCCACUAUCUCACUGACAAACAACUCUGGUGAGUCCAGAAGAAGCCUUUUGAAAUCACGUACUUUGGCUCCAACUUUGGACAGAGGUGUGUGGCCUAUGGAACAUAAGCAGUAGGUGAUGUCUCACUGUGUGUUUUGUAACAUGGAAAACAGUGCCUUUCUCAACGGCAGAUUCCGAUGGAAAACGUUCUCAGCCUUCUGGGAGUAAAAUUCCUCCUCAGGGCAGGAGGUGUUCUGCCUUUGGAAGGCCUGCAAAAUCAGACCUGUCACUGCAAUGGAAGGAGAUUGGGGUUGGCGCCUCCGUGGGUGUGAGUGUAAACAUCCAGCUGGGUGUGCCAACUAGAACGUGCCCUGGCUUUGUUAUUCCUAGCGCCCAGCUCCACUUCAGCUUUCUCCUGAGUGAUUAUUGACGUGCUUGCAGUUCCGGGGGACGUGGAAAUUUGUUUGUUUACACAGAUUUGGCAACAGUGAGCUGUCAGCCCUGUGAGGCACUGGAGUGCUUCCUUGAAAUCAAGAGUUGCAGCUCAGCAACUCUGCAGAGCUUGCAUUUUGGGCAGAAAAAUGAGAGCUCAAUUGGCGUAACUCAACUGUAGUCCAUGCGCUUCUUCCUGCCGAUCCUCCCAUAGCUGUCACCAGCCUGUGCUCAAAAUCACCAGUGCCAGCUCCAGCCGAGGCGAAAGGUUGUAUCAAUUCCUGUUCAGAGCUGAAAAUGCCUUGAUUUUUUAAUUUGGUCCUGGGACUUGUUCAGGAAAAACGUCAAAGCCUUCUGCUCCGUUAUUUGUGCUGAGCUAAAAAUAACGUUGGGGGCCCCACCUUCACUGAAUGCACUCCCUUGAAAACAGAGCAGUAAGCAAAUUCCCAUGUGCUCCUUCUUUCUAGAUUUCUGGCAGUCGGAAACAAAAGUCAUCAGAACCUAGAGAAACUAUCAGCCUUUGUGGUGUCCCCUUCUGUGUCGAAAUCAGUGGGUCUGUUGGAAACCAGCAAGUGGCACUCCAACACACAGAGGAAGGGCUUUAUUCUCAGCUCUGUAUCCCCAGUCCUUCCGUAAGAGCUGCCAAUGCAGUAUCAACACCAUCCAUGCCAUAAACCCAGAGCUGCCCUGUCUUUUUCUUGGAGUAGUUGUGCAAAGUCUGAAUGAGGAGUCUGGGCAGCACCUUGAGAGCUCAUCUGCCUGCUCACCGGGCAGACUUCCACACUGGCAGGCAGGGUGAUGCUCUUGCUCUCCAGAUCCUUCAUCUGUUGGCGCACAUAUCCUUGGGAACUGCAGGGUGUUUUGGUCCAAGAAGUGUAUUUGCAGUGUGUUCUCCCCAUCAGGCCUCUGUGAUGACCUGGAAGAGAUUUUCGUGGGCUGUCCAGAUAACACCAGAGACAAUUGCAGACAGGGUUUCUGUCAAUACCAACUUCCCAAGUUCUGUUAAGUGAAUAAUUUCUCUUAAAGCAGCUCCACCUCUCCUUUCUGGUGAGAUGGUCCUAUCACCCUCCAAUACUCAGUGGUUUUCAGGUUGGAUAAAUGGCCAUUUUUCCAGAAACACAUUGAACUUCUGUAGUCUGGUUUAUUAUUAUUAUUAUUCUUUUUAAGCAUUUAACAAAACCCCUGGAGAUUUGACCAAAAAUAGAAUAAGAAAAUGAAAGUUCUAUCGUCAUUUCUGUUAAGGGCAGAGAAAUGAUUUCCCAGCCUGCUCUACUCCUUUGCAGACCGAGGAAGGUUUUAUGGGCUGAAACAGUCCCUCAGGAGAUGCUUGAGAGGAAAAGGGAGACCACAACACCAUGGCCCUGUUUCCAUUGGGGAAAGCCAACAGUGGCACAGCUGGGGACAGCUGAGUGCUGCCCAUGGACGUGCUGGCUGACCCAGCCUGGGGCAGAGCUCUUAUAUCAGCAUCAGGGAACCAACACCUGGCUCCUCUCUGUGCUGACCAUUCCUGGCGGCCGACUACAUCUUGAUUUCAUAUUUUGAUUUUACAGGCCCUGCACAAUAAUCACCUCUUAAUUCACCCUCCCUCCCUCCCUCCUCUCUUCUCUUUCUGCUGAGGAACAGCAGACGGGAGAUUUCAUGUGCCAUAAAUAUUUAGAUUGUGCCUGUGUGUUUAUAACACUUGCCGAGAGUGUAACUGGAGCAGCUCACACUCAGCAGCAACACCUGAUGCUAGGAAAGUUUUCCAUCACCUCAUAUGGACCAAGUGGAGCAGAACACGCACAGGGGACCAGUAGCUGCGUUGUCCCCCUGCCACGUUGGUGAACAAUAACAACAAUAACAAUAUGAAUGUGCUUUUGUGUCCCUAAGCAGCUGCUCUAAAGGAUGCUGGAAAAAAAGCUGUGGCUGUGAUCGAAUUGAACAUUCUUGCAGCACUGCCCCGGCUAUAGAGCAUGGGGGAGACGUGUCUCCAAUAGGACCUAUAGGUUCUAGACCACACGUGUUACAGGAGUCCAUAGUGCCAGUAAUGGAUCUCAGCCUCUCCUGUAUAGCUUGAGUGUCUCAAUUAAGCAUGGCACACUUGCAUGUAGUCCAGCUGAGGUCCGGGCCCCUUUCCACAGCACCUGAGGCAGGCCAGGCAGGGCUGGCAGCUCUCCCUGUGUCAGCCUGCCCAGCAGAGCCCUGCUGGGCAUGCAGCCGUGGCCCCUCAGCCUUGCUGGCUCACAUGCAGCGGUCAGCCCUGCGCUUUCCAGAGCAUCGGCUCUCUUAAGUGUUAUGGAAUUUUUUUGUGCUUUAAUAAAUGUGUUUUUGCUAAUGUUUCUUUAGGGGAAAAUAUUUUUCUUUUGUUUCUCUGUGUAACCUCUUUAGGACUUUCUGGGGAAGUGAAGCCAACAGCACUAGCUUUGGCUCCUUUUCUUGCCUGUCCUCUGCUUUUUUUUUCUCUCUCUCUUUUUGGAGAGGAAAUAAAUCUCUGUUUUUAGUCCCUUCCCUUGCUCCUAUUCCACUUACCUGCUGGGUUUUCUCUUCUGUGGCUUUGGAAACAGCAGUAAUGACUCACUCACCAACUUAGGAGGGAUUUUCCUCUCCAGGCAGGCGAUUUGUUGCUUGUCUACUGUGUGCAUUACUCAGAGCUUUUUCCUGGAGGCUUUGAUACUUGCCGUGGUCACAGCAGCUCCAAUCGCAGCCGGUUUCAUGGCCAGGCUGCAGGCAGGAAGGAUCGAGGUCUUCAGCUGGAGCAGAUGAGCGGGGCUCUGCUGGAGGCUCCAUCACACCUCCAGUCCCUUCCGGGGCAGAACAGCAGCCACGUGCUCUGAGAUCUGGGAUCAGGAGGCCGUGGGCCAUCUCCAAACUGGUGCCAGGCAGCGCAGCACCGCAUGCCUUGCAGGAGCUCCACCUCCUACCAACAGCAGUGCGGUCAGUGGAGAGGAAAGAUGCUGAAAAUGAUCCCUGCGUUAUCCGGGUGCCAAAUCAAUGCAUCUCAUCCUGCCCUGCACUGAGAGCAGAGCAUUGCUGAGAGCAGGAUGGAGGAAGGUGAGGGAAGUCCUACAGGUGGGGAAGGAACACCAACAGGUCUGAAGGACCGCAGUGCCCCUGCAGCUCCCCAGGUCUCCACCUGCGACUGCCCCGUGCAAUGGGAAAUAUAACUACAUUCUGAGAACAACAGCCCCUUAGGAAGAAAAAACAAUAAGGGAAGAAAGCACGCCUUUGAAAAACAACAGCAAAGAAAAAAACCCUUCAACUAUAAAAUAAACUAAGGUACAAGAUGCAAUUAACAAUGCACAAACAGCAGAGCCCGGAAUGUAAAUUGUAUUUAAAUAGGGCUGUGAAGAAUGUUUCAGUCCCCUAAAUGGCUUCUCUCUCCUGCUGCCUUGAACCUCCAAUCAAGCCCUGCCUGGGAGUAAUUUGGUGCUGGAAAUUGUUGCCACACGAACAGCUGAAGGCUGGCAGGGUCACCGGCCCCCCGUGUCACACCCUGUCAUUUUAGAUUAAGAUAUGCAAAGGCGACACGGCUGCGAACUUUCCCUUUGCUGCUGUGGCUGCGUCCAUCCCCUCGACUGUAAUGAGAGGAAGGCGUAAUUGGAGUCAACUGCUUGAUUAUGAUAAUUGCUACUGUCUGGGGGAAGAAACAUUUGAGUCCCGGAGCUUGAUCCGCGCUGCACCUUUGGGGUGACUGCUGUCUGUUUGCCGGCAGAUGGGCCCUGCACAGAGCAUCCCUCGGCCCCGCGCCGGCCCCUGACCCCAACCCCACCACUUGUUGGCUCCCGAUCCCGCAGGGUCACGGGGCGUUGGGCUGCUCGCUGCCUCCCACCGGAGCGUCGCUCCUGAAGGAUUUAUCCCCUCAGAGGGAAAGGGCCUUUUGGAAAUUUAUCCCCGGCUCUUCACAGCAGCACAAGUGGGAGAUGAGGCGCCGUAUAUUUUCCGCUGGGAUAUUUAUCGCUUUCAUUGUACAUCCCAGCAACGAUCUGUGGGAAAUGCCUCCUGGGGGCUCAGCCGUCGGUCUGCCAGCAGGGACGGUCCUGGGCUCAGGGCAGAGGGAUGGCAGCGAGGAGAUGAACAUGCGGUGCUCAGAGCACCCAGCACAGCUCAGUGCCACCUCUCAGCAGCUCUGUCUGUGCAUUGGUGCCAAUAACCUGCCCAGCAGUGGCGUGAGCACAGAGGCACAUAAAGCCCACGUAUGUAAUUAAGGUGGCAAGAAGCAUUUCGUUAAUUAACGGCUAUUAUUUGUUAAUAUCAAGCCUUAAGUGCAAAGCUCAACUCUAGCUGUGAAGCAAUAAGCACAGCCUGAGCAACAACAGUAACUAGCCAACAAAGUAAUUGGGUCGUUAUUUCCACGAUAUCUUAAAAGUUUAACAAGAUUUUCUUGUUUUAAACAUUCACAUUCCAGAGCGUGGAGGGGAAAGCACUGCCUGCACGGAGGGAACGAUGUAAAAAUCCUUGGAAACAGAGCAGGGCUGCAGGUGAUGGGGUGGGUUUUCUGCUGAGCACGGAGCUGUGCCCCACUCACAGCCAGGCGUGUGGGUCGGGGCUGCGGCGUGCUGUGCUGGCUGUGCACAGGGAUAUGGGGUAGGGGAGGCAUGGGCAGCUAGCUCUUGUUCUGCUGCGUUUAGAAAGCGAGCUCAUUUGAAUGAGUAUGAUUUUCCUCUUUGUUACUAACAAGGUGCCUUUCUGCGGGGUCCUGGUGGGCUCUGUGUUAGCAGAGGGAUCAUGUUGAGCACCAGGAGGGUGUCCCAGCGCCAGGGUCAGGCAUGGAUGGAUCCCCGUGCAGUUUGAUAAGAGAGGGAGACGUUUAAUCUGCUUUCCAGGGUAGAUUAAGAGCCCCCGUAGACUGUAGCUAUGCAACAGCGUGCGUCUGACAGUGCAGAGCUCUGAGCAAAGGUGUAGCUGUUGUGAUAAAACAACUGCCUGCAUUUCAUUAACAAAACAGUAUGCCAAAGUGUCAUUAGGCGACGGAGGGCUCUAAAUAACCCUGUGACUGCCUGCCAGGCAGUGUGAGUCAGGAGGAGACCACUGCAGCUGUACCUGGGUACCCACGUACCUAAGGGCAGAGAGAAUCCAGAGGAGCCUCAUGCCCACCUGAAGGGCCAAACCUGCAGCUCAGACUGUUCUGCUCAGUGCUUAUUUCCAUGAGAAGUGAUCGGGCCAUUUUGCAAGCAGGUGUGUUAACUUCAAUCUGCAGGAGAGGAGCAUUUGCUGUGAACACAGCUCGUAUCUGUGCAGAUAGCGUUGGCAGGAGCUCUGCCUGGCUGCCCGCCUGGCUGGAGGCUUGUGUGUACCUAGGAGAUGGCUUGCCAGCUCUAACCUAUUCAUUCAAAGUCAGCCUUCAGUUGGAGCUCCCACCCUUUCCUCCAGAAGAGAUUCGUGUGCUGUUACUCAUUUACUACUAUGGCCAUUUAAUACUAUGGCAUUGCCCUGGGACACGGGACGGCCGGCUGGAGGGGCAGGCAGCCCCAGCUGCUCAGGGAGGUGCCCCCGUGGCACUCAGUGCAAUGAGUUGGGACCCUGCAGCUCAGGUCCGUGACACUAUUGACUCUAUUAAUUUAUGGGAUAACUCGUCCUUUGGGAGAGUUCUUUCCUAAUCUCCAUUAGUUAGAGAUUGCUUUAUCCUUUGCAGCAAGGAAUUUUCAUCCAUUUACUCUGUAAGCUUUCUUAAAGUUUAUCCCUGUGAUUCUGGAUAUCGUUUAUUUCAAUUUGUCUCUUUCGUUACUCUUUGUUCCAAACCCAUUGCACCCCGGCCCCAGGAAUGUCCUGGGGAGUUAAGCAGAGUCGGGUCUGCAGGUGAAUUCUCCCUCCACCUAUAAAUACAGAUUCUUUUGACAGUUUUGUUUUAUUCCACCGAAAAUUGCCAAAGUACACUCAGAGCCUGUUCUCUCACUGUAUUUUCUUUUUACAUAGGAAAUGCCGAAGGCAGCUGACAAAAACUUCUUGUAUAAUUGCAGCUUUAUUUUGCCAAAUUCUGAGCCGUCAUUUGCUGCCAGCAGUCCCACCUCUUCCAUCCAGGAGCUGGUGACGUUGAUCGAGCUGCAGAUCAGAAGCUGUUCCCUGGAUGAGGUGGGCCGCCUGCUGCCCUCACCAUGCUCUUCCCACCCCACUGCUGCCCGCCCUGAGGUCUGCUCCAGCGCAGGGAGGUCUGGCACUCUUGAACCUGAGGUCAAAAACAAGAGGGAGGAAAAGAAUGGCCUUCAGGCCAGAGGAAGAAACCAGGGCAACCAGGCUCUUAACGUGAUAAAAGGGCUUUAUCUCAAAGCACUUAAACAAAACACACAAGCCUGAGAGAAGAGGCUCUGUCAAGUAUCCGCCCGGGACAUGGGGAAAUUGCAAAUCCCUGCAGGACAGAGGGGCUCUUUCUUCAGUGUGCAGAGCCUGGAGAUGGGGCUGGGCAGAUGGACCCAGGGGUGCAGCUGCCCCACCUGCCCCAUGCUGCCCCACACCUCGCUCCCUGGCACUGUGCUCCGCAGGGAUGUGGGCACCGUGCUGAUGCUGCGUGCUGUGUCAUUGGAGUCAACACAGAGGUUCUUCCCAUCCCUGCGGCUGUAAUAUCUGGAGCGCCUCCGCAGAUGAAAGGAAAAGACACCAUCUCUCCCACUCUCGCUCGCUCCGUGAGAGCUGAUGCAGUUAAUUGGAGCUUCUUGUGAGCGCACAUUAACACAGGCAGAGCCAAGAAGACGUCUUGGCAGCGAAAUAUCAUUAUCAGCUCUUGAGCUCCAGCCAAAAUCCCCUUGCGGUCAAAACACAAUUCUUUAAACUAAACAAUUAAAGAUUUGUGCAAGUGUUGC